This 22-nucleotide non-coding RNA is filed under the name Arabidopsis thaliana (thale cress). The record is from RNAcentral. Lineage: Eukaryota; Viridiplantae; Streptophyta; Magnoliopsida; Brassicales; Brassicaceae. RNAcentral also lists the same sequence under 2 other names.
ACUAUGACUCUCUUAAGGUAGC